AAAAUUAAAGGUUUAAUCUGCCCAAUGAUAUUUGAAUGGCCGCGGUAACUUGACCGUGCAAAGGUAGCAUAAUUAUUAGUCUUUUAAUUGAAGGCUUGAAUGAAAGAUUGGAUGAAAAAUAAACUUUAUUAACAAGAAUUAUUUAAUUUAUUAUUUAAGUAAAAAUUCUUAAAUAUAUAAGUGGGACGAGAAGACCCUAUAGAGUUUUAUUUUUAUUUGUAUUAUAAGAUUUAAGAAUAAAUAUUUUUAUAGUCUAAAUAAAUUUUUUAUUGGGGUGAUAUUAAAAAUUAUUAAACUUUUAAUUACUAUAACAUUAAUAUAUGUAUUAUUGAUCCAAAAAUAUUUUGAUUAUAAGAUAUAAUUACCUUAGGGAUAACAGCGUUAUUAAUUUGAAGAGUUCAAAUCGAUAAAUUAGUUUGCGACCUCGAUGUUGGAUUAAGAAUAAAUUUUGGAGUAGUGUUUAAAAUUAUAGGUCUGUUCGACCUUUGAAUUCUUACG
Molecule: ribosomal RNA, 498 nt
Filed under: Platypleura techowi
Lineage: Eukaryota; Metazoa; Arthropoda; Insecta; Hemiptera; Cicadidae
Description: partial 16S ribosomal RNA
Rfam family: Bacterial large subunit ribosomal RNA
Source: RNAcentral